CUUGCCUGAUUCCAGGCUGAGGUAGUAGUUUGUACAGUUUGAGGGUCUAUGAUACCACCCGGUACAGGAGAUAACUGUACAGGCCACUGCCUUGCCUGGGACAGA
RNAcentral lists this microRNA precursor (105 nucleotides) under Anas platyrhynchos (mallard). Its description in RNAcentral is "miRNA (ENSAPLG00020002008.1)". The stretch from base 12 to 99 matches the Rfam family "let-7 microRNA precursor family". Rfam says of the family: This family represents the microRNAs (miRNA) let-7 and mir-98. let-7 was identified from a study of developmental timing in C. elegans, and was later shown to be part of a much larger class of non-coding RNAs termed miRNAs. RNAcentral also lists the same sequence under 3 other names. Lineage: Eukaryota; Metazoa; Chordata; Aves; Anseriformes; Anatidae. The record is from RNAcentral.